CAGUAGCCGCGGUAAUACAGAGGGUGCGAGCGUUAAUCGGAUUUACUGGGCGUAAAGCGUGCGUAGGCGGCUUCUUAAGUCGGAUGUGAAAUCCCUGAGCUUAACUUAGGAAUUGCAUUCGAUACUGGGAAGCUAGAGUAUGGGAGAGGAUGGUAGAAUUCCAGGUGUAGCGGUGAAAUGCGUAGAGAUCUGGAGGAAUACCGAUGGCGAAGGCAGCCAUUUGGCCUAAUACUGACGCUGAGGUACGAAAGCAUGGGGAGCAAACAGGAUUAGAUACCCCAGUAGUCCCUGUCUCUUAUAC
Molecule: ribosomal RNA, 301 nt
Filed under: uncultured bacterium
Lineage: Bacteria
Description: partial 16S ribosomal RNA
Rfam family: Bacterial small subunit ribosomal RNA
Source: RNAcentral